CCCGACGAAAACAAGAGGAAUUCUUUGAAGUGCAUUUUCUGUCAUCAUGUGUACACCAAUGGUAUUACUCGAAUCAAGCUCCACCUUGCAAACAUUCCAACUUCCGGUGUUGUUCCCUGUACAAAAGUGCCAGCUGAUGUAAGGGAUGAAAUCACUGAGUUUUUGACAAAGAAGGGUGAUAAAAAGGCAGCAAAAAUUUCAGAGCAGAAGAGGAUUAGAUGUGAAGUGGACUUGAGCCACUAAGAGGGGGAAGGUUCAAGUGAUGAAGAUGGCAGAAGCAAUUCUGUUGUUAUGCUUAAGUCGGCGAGAGGCAAAACAUCUAAAUCCUCAGGUGGGCCUAUGGAAAAAUUCUGCCAACUAUCUCCUGAAGAGGCUAUUGCUGCAAGGAAGGCAAAAUCUAGUGAGAGCAUCCAAUUAAAGCUGACAACUGGGGAGAGAGUGAAGAAAAGGAACCGUGCUUGUGAGUACAUAUGCCAGUUCUUCUAUGAAGCAUUGUGA
This 498-nucleotide ribosomal RNA is filed under the name Triticum aestivum (bread wheat). RNAcentral describes it as "partial small subunit ribosomal RNA". The record is from RNAcentral. Lineage: Eukaryota; Viridiplantae; Streptophyta; Magnoliopsida; Poales; Poaceae.